Molecule: non-coding RNA, 120 nt
Filed under: unclassified sequences
Description: Flavobacterium-1 RNA
Rfam family: Flavobacterium-1 RNA
Source: Rfam by way of RNAcentral
CCAAUCUAGGCGUCCAAAUCUGUCUCUGACAUUUCCCUGUACGUUAGCGAUGAUCCGCAAGGUAGCGACGACGAUUGGACCAGGGCAGCCGGCGUUCCCUGAUCAGGAUGGCUGGCCUGG